Molecule: ribosomal RNA, 253 nt
Filed under: uncultured bacterium
Lineage: Bacteria
Description: partial 16S ribosomal RNA
Rfam family: Bacterial small subunit ribosomal RNA
Source: RNAcentral
UACGUAGGGGGCUAGCGUUGUCCGGAAUCAUUGGGCGUAAAGAGCGUGUAGGCGGCCCGGUAAGUCCGCUGUGAAAGUCGGGGGCUCAACCCUCGAAUGCCGGUGGAUACUGUCGGGCUAGAGUGCGGAAGAGGCGAGUGGAAUUCCUGGUGUAGCGGUGAAAUGCGCAGACAUCAGGAGGAACACCAAUUGCGAAGGCAGCUCGCUGGGACGUAACCGACGCUGAGACGCGAAAGCGUGGGGAGCAAACAGG